UCCCCGAUAGUCUAGUGGUGAGGAUAUCUGCUUGUCAAUUUCACGAUUCGCAGGGGACCGGGGUUCAAUUCCCCGUCGAGGAG
This is a transfer RNA of Colletotrichum sublineola, 83 nucleotides long. It matches the Rfam family "tRNA". Rfam says of the family: Transfer RNA (tRNA) molecules are approximately 80 nucleotides in length. Their secondary structure includes four short double-helical elements and three loops (D, anti-codon, and T loops). Lineage: Eukaryota; Fungi; Ascomycota; Sordariomycetes; Glomerellales; Glomerellaceae. The record is from Rfam.